CUCAGUAGUCCACUAGUCCACUCGGUAGUUCAGUAGUUUAUAAUACAUAAGCUCAUUGUACAUUGUUUCAUUUAUUUAACAUUGUCCUCAUUCUUGUUUUAUAAUAAAGAAGAAGAACUGAGAUGUUCUUGUGCAGCACAGUCAGAAGAUAAACUGAGGUGAAGACUUUGUAUCAGGUGUAAUCUGAAGGAGAAGUUGAGCUCCAGAAUGAGUGUCUCUGGGGAACAGGACACACAGGAAGCUGAGAGACUGUUUCAGGGUAAGAGAUCUGACUCUCCUGAACCCAGCUGUGUGUCCAUGAAGAGUGACCAGUCAAUAGACCAUCCACUACUCUUCAGAAAGAAGGACUGUUCUCCUGAACCCAGCUGUGUGUCUAUUAAGAGUGACCUGUCAAUGGACUUUCCAUUAAACUUCAGAAAGGAGGACUGCUCUCCUGAACUGAGAGUCAAGCAGAAGGCAUCAGACACUAGCAGAAGGAAUAUGGAGGUCAUACUCAAGGAGCUGGAGCAGAAAGUCAUCUCUCUCGUAAAGAAACAGCUGAAGAGGUUUGAGAAGAUCCUGAAGAGUCUGGAUUACCCAGCAUGCUCUGGGAGAGAGGAGGAGGAUGAAGAGGAUCAGAGCGCUGUCAGAGAGGGAGCGCUGAAGGGUCUGGAUUACCCAGCAUGCUCUGGGAGAGAGGAUGAGGAUGAGGAGGAGGAGGAUGAGGAGGAGGAUGAGGAGGAUCAGAGCGCUGUCAGAGAGGGAGCACUGAAGAUCACACUGCACGUCCUGAAGAACAUGAACCAGACAGACCUCGCUAACACACUGCUGACCAGUAAGACAUGAGGGUUAUAUAGGGCUGGGUGAUA
Molecule: long non-coding RNA, 848 nt
Filed under: Astyanax mexicanus (Mexican tetra)
Lineage: Eukaryota; Metazoa; Chordata; Actinopteri; Characiformes; Acestrorhamphidae
Description: lncRNA (ENSAMXG00005008928.1)
Source: RNAcentral